Molecule: ribosomal RNA, 253 nt
Filed under: uncultured bacterium
Lineage: Bacteria
Description: partial 16S ribosomal RNA
Rfam family: Bacterial small subunit ribosomal RNA
Source: RNAcentral
UACGUAGGGUGCAAGCGUUGUCCGGAAUUACUGGGUUUAAAGGGUGCGUAGGUGGGUAGGAAAGUCAGUGGUGAAAUCUUCGGGCUUAACCCGGAAACUGCCAUUGAUACUAUUUAUCUUGAAUACUUUGGAGGUAAGCGGAAUAUGUCAUGUAGCGGUGAAAUGCUUAGAUAUGACAUAGAACACCAAUUGCGAAGGCAGCUUACUACACAGUUAUUGACACUGAGGCACGAAAGCGUGGGGAUCAAACAGG